UGUUCUUCUGCAAUGAAGUUUAAAAUCCAAAAUCGGCUGAAAUUCGGCAUCUUCCAUGUUUCAGGGGUGUAUUUGGUAGCCGUGUUGGUCCCAGACCAACACAGCUACCAAGUACACCCCUGUAGCAAUGUACACAAUACUUCAGCUGAAUCCUAACUGGAGUCAGAUAAACUAAACUGCAUUUACAAUUUUCUUCCUGUCCUGCCCUGUCCUGUCCUCCUUCCUUUCUGCAGUUGUAUCCCAUUGCUGACUUUUGCAAAGUGUGUGACCCAUGGAAGCUCCCAGCCAACUCUCAGCACUGCUACUGCCUAGCCACUUAUCUCCUGUUCUGUAUUUAGUCAUUCAGCUUUUCUUUCUUAGGUGCAGCACCUCACAUUUUGCCUCAGCUGAAUUACUUUGUUUUCUGCAGCCUAGUUUUCUAAUUUAUCAAGAUUAUUUUAGAUUCUACUCUUAUCCUCCAAAAUAUUUACAAUCCCCCCAGUGUUGUCAUCUACAAACUCCAUCAGGAAGUUUUCUAUUCAAGUCUUUAUUAAAAAUAUUAAAUAAGGCUCUGUGGUACCCCACUUGAAAUCUGGCAUUCAUCUAUUUGCAGACCAACUAUAGUACUCUUAGCUUGUGGUUAUUCAGUCAAGCAUACAUCCACUCAACAGUAAUUCUGUCUAGAUACAGCCCUCUUGACUGCAUGGAUUCCAUGUGAUUUAUUAGUUUGUACAAGCCAACAAAAAUAUUUGUGAAAACUUUCAAGUGGCAGGUGCCUUCUAUGAAAACAGUUAUUACAGGAUGUCUCUAAACACCCUCCGUGGCAAUCCCACAACCAAUGCCAAGAAAUAAGUCCCACUCACUGUUUGCUGAUCUCUAUGUGCCACAAGGGGAAAACCAUGUACUUGCCGUGAGAAUGGUGCUGGGGGUGCUCAGUGCCACGUGACAAAUUCUCCAGAGCGUUCCCAAGACCAAGAUCCUGAGGGCUUUUCCAGUCGUGUUUCCAAAAUAGAAUUAUGCAAUAUUUUUCAGCAGGCAACACGUGCAGAGCAGGAGCAAGUGCCUGGGGCUUCUUUCUUAGCAAUGAUUUUGAGACCUAUGCACAGAGGCAAUCAAACAGUUUUGUGGUUAGGGCACAGGAAAAGAGACAAGUGAUCUGAAUUGGGUUCCCAACAGGCACUAGCUCACUAAGGGUAAAGGAUUUAGCCUUUUUUACUUUGUUUUUUCAACGUUAAAACAAAUACUGAUGCUUGGUCGAGCUUAUAAAACAGAUUUUUUUUUUCCAUAAGGCAACGAGGUGAUCUAAUAUAGAUUCUACCACACAAGAUCACCCACUGCUAGGCAGUAUUUUGACUGUAAAUUAUUUCCUACCCGCUGCUGGGCAGUAAAUUAUGUAAAUUAUUUCCACCCUCUGCUGGGCAGUAAAUUAUGUAAAUUAUUUUCUACCCACUGCUGGGCAGUAUUUUGACUGCUAUGUAAAUUAUUUCAGGUACAGACUCCUUGCUUUUACCAAGUUUGCAUGCUAACUGGCCAAAGUAUUAAAAACAUGAUUUCUUCCAAGUUUUCUCCUUUAGAUCUACCUCUGAUGGAGUUCCUAUCCUUCUGGUUACCUUUGAACAAGAUAGCUGGCCCAAAAGCUUUUAGAUGAAUUCCAGUCUUCAUUUGCCCUGAGUCAGAUAAAAAUGUCAAUUCCACCCAAUUUUGGGAUGUGAGAAAUAACCAGAAAUCUUUUAUUUUAAAUUAAAAUUUGAAAAUCUGGAAUACUGCACUGCAGAAACAAUUUGGGCAAUGAAACUGUAUCCUCUUUCCUACAAAAUCAUUCUUCUGUUAUUUAAAUUCGAGACAUGUUUGGACAAAAAUUAGUUCUACAGUUUUAAGAAUAUUUUUAUCCAUAAGUACCAGCACUUGACACCCAUCAAGAUUGGGACUGAUUUUAUGCACCAAGUGCUGCACUCAAAUGAAGAGGUCACACAUGGCCAUCUAGUGGCUUUUCAGACACUCAUCAUGGAAUAUUUUCCUGUAUAAUUUUAACUUGCCCUGAAGGUAUCUCAACAUUCAUUUGAAAAUUAUUUUGUAUUGGAAAACUCCAGUAUACAGCAAAUCAUUAACUGCAAUAAACAUAUUCAAAUGAGAUUAGGAAGUAACCAAAACAAAGUGCCUUAUAUAUGAUUCAUGAUCCAAGGAAAUGCAUAUGUAGUAAGGAAAUUAAAAACAUAAAUAAUGGAGGCUUCACAGUAGUAUUUGUUUGCAUAUUUAUCUAGAAUUUAAUUCAAAGUUUCACUUUAACAUAGGUCAUGCAACCAUCAGAUUUAAACUAUCACAACAAUAAAGACUUGAAGUGAUUAUUCAUCUGACAUGAAUACAUUAUAUGUAUUUACUUAUUAAAGUCAUGGACUCAAAGGACAAAUCUUAUUGUACUUUACAUGGCAUUGUCUACCUUACCAGCUUCAAAAAUCACCUUAAAGGGCUCCCAUUCAACUGCAGCUUGAUACAAUGCAUGACUAAGAAUACAGGUAAAUAAGAGAUGCGUCAUGCAACAGUCUCUAACCACAAAAAUGUAAGAAUCCAUAGAAAUGUGUGUGCUUGCUUAAAUAAACAUAUAUGUACAUUU
This is a long non-coding RNA of Alligator sinensis (Chinese alligator), 2590 nucleotides long. RefSeq lists it as uncharacterized. The transcript is spliced from 2 exons. NCBI's taxonomy places the organism in Eukaryota, Metazoa, Chordata, Crocodylia, Alligatoridae. The record is from RefSeq and is a predicted model, not a curated record.